This 358-nucleotide ribosomal RNA is filed under the name uncultured Bacteroides sp. RNAcentral's name for it is "partial 16S ribosomal RNA". It matches the Rfam family "Bacterial small subunit ribosomal RNA", at positions 346 to 702 of the family's 1533-position model. The record is from RNAcentral. Lineage: Bacteria; Pseudomonadati; Bacteroidota; Bacteroidia; Bacteroidales; Bacteroidaceae.
AGGCAGCAGUGAGGAUAUUGGUCAAUGGGCGAKRGCCUGAACCAGCCAAGUAGCGUGAAGGAUGACUGCCCUAUGGGUUGUAAACUUCUUUUAUAWRGGAAUAAAGUCGGGUAUGCRURCCCGUUUGCAUGUACUUUAUGAAUAAGGAUCGGCUAACUCCGUGCCAGCAGCCGCGGUAAUACGGAGGAUCCGAGCGUUAUCCGGAUUUAUUGGGUUUAAAGGGAGCGUAGAUGGAUGUUUAAGUCAGUUGUGAAAGUUUGCGGCUCAACCGUAAAAUUGCAGUUGAUACUGGAURUCUUGAGUGCAGUUGAGGCRGGCGGAAUUCGUGGUGUAGCGGUGAAAUGCUUAGAUAUCACGA